Non-coding RNA from Chlorocebus sabaeus (green monkey), 1702 nucleotides. The record is from RefSeq and is a predicted model, not a curated record. NCBI's taxonomy places the organism in Eukaryota, Metazoa, Chordata, Mammalia, Primates, Cercopithecidae.
UCUUUCCUUUAUAAACUACCCAAUCUUGGGCAGUUCUUUAUAGCAGCAUGAGAAUAGUCCAUUCUAAUGUGUAUUAGUCAAUACACAUAUCUUUAAGUUUUCUGUGGUGAAGAUUAAGUAUGGCAGACACAAAGUGUAUACCCAAUAAAUAAUAGGUAUAAUUGUGCUCAUCCCACUCUCAUCAAUUACCUGGCAAAAAUUCUAUUCAAGGGCUAGGACUCUGCUACUCUACUCCAAUCCUCUUCAGUUCCACUAUGUUUAUUUCAGUUUCCUAACCAAAUAGGUAACAGCUGGUUUUGCAUGAAAGUGAGCAACUAUGGAGGCAGAAGAUUGUCUCCUCACAUACUUGGGAUGAAUUCUACCCUGAGGCACCACACCCUUGUUGGGCCAACCGCACAGAAUUCUGUGCAUGCACGACUGUCAAGUGUUUAUCUAUUGCCCCAGAAACAAACUUCUCUAUACCUGGUGCAUGUUUCUCUCCUAUUCUUCCAUCUCCUGUUGACCUCCCUUCCAAUUCUUUCCAAUAUGCCUCAUGGAAUUUUCAUUCUCUUAUGAGUAACCCUCUGUUGAUCUCCUAGCUUUCAUUAAACUUUGUCUGUGCUGCAAGCACACCGAAUAUCUUUUUGCUAUGUUAAAUCCAAAACCUAGUUAUCAGUCCUCAUCUUAGUUGAAUUAUCAGUACUUCCACUACUACCACCCGUAUACAAGCCACUAUCAUUUUUUUUUUCUGCCUGAAAUGAUACAGUAGUCUAUAAACCAAGUAUCUCUGCUUGCAUCUUCAUCUGCCUGUCACGUAUGCUCAACAUAGUAACCACAGUGAUCCUUAUAAAACCAAAGUCAGAUAAUGUCACUUCUUGACUACUUCAGGUCAGGGACCAUGUCAUUUUAUUCCCCCUCUGUAUCUCCAGGGCUUAUCACUGAAACUUAGCAGGCACUCACUAAAUAUUUUGCUGAGCAGUUAAAACCAAGAGAAGAAAGAGGAGGGAGGUAUAUGGCAAUCAUUUACCACAUCCUCUUUUAACCUCUUGAAUAUCUUACCAAUGUCUUCUUUUGUCCUUACCUUCACAUCAUUUUAUUUGACAAACAAAACUGUUCUCUAGAGAGGUAAGGCAGACGUGUGAACUGGACCCAUAGAAGUUAAGUGAUGACCCUGUUUGCAAUGUCAAAGAGAUUGAGGGCUUGGACUUGAACUCAACCUUCUCCCUCCAAAUAGCCUGCUCUUUCUGUUAUGCCAUGUUUCAUAUACAAGUUUGGGAGCCUCCAGCCCUGACUAUCCCAAGUUGUUAUUCUGUGACAUCUUCUCUACUUAAGCAGCUCACCCACGAGGCAUCCAAAACAGAGAGAAAAAACAGAGUGAACAUUUUGCCUUAUGGAAUUGUCAAAAGUUGUGGUCAAAACACAGAGCAAGCUAAUGGGAGUCAAGGAUGAACAGAAAUUCCCUCUGCAGCUGAGGCAGGAGAAUUGCUUAGACCCAGGAGACGGAGUUUGCAAUGAGCCAAGAUCUUGCCACUGCAUUCCAGCCUGGCGACAGAGCAAGACUCCGUCUCAAAAAAAAGUUUCCUCUGUCUAUCGCAUCACCUCAAGUCUGGUUAUGACGCUAUACUCAGCUAGUACGAUACUCCAUGGAUUCUUGACCACUUAAAAAUCUUGUCCUUCAGGCCGUUUAUUGAUUUUGGAGUAUAUAAUAAAUAUCCUUCAAUUA